RNAcentral lists this long non-coding RNA (321 nucleotides) under Androctonus crassicauda. Lineage: Eukaryota; Metazoa; Arthropoda; Arachnida; Scorpiones; Buthidae. The record is from RNAcentral.
UACAAAGGGAUGAUUGAGAGUGCUGUGGGGGGGCGGAUAGUUCUGUCAAGGAGGAACAUGGUUUCUGGCAUCACACGGGGUGGCAGGGACGGAAGAACCCCAUUGGACUUGCCAGGCGUGUAUGAAAUGGAAGGUUAUAAUAAGGACACCAAUCGGGAAGAGGUUUGCAUAGGUUUAGGGGCGAGGUUUAUAGGGAAAAGAUUGCAGGAGCACGGGGCGGAUGGAGAGAGGGAGAAGGGAACUGUUGCCUUGGCGCAGAGGCUUGCGGCAUGUGAUGCGACGCUGAGGUGGUAGGGGGCAGAGGCGGUGAGUGUUAUAAUG